UGUGUGUGUGUGUAUAUAUAUAGAUUAUAUUGUUGUUAAAGUGAAACGAAUUUGAUUUUGACAUUUGUGUGAAUGAAGAAGGUAGUGUACAUAUUAUAUAUAUAUUAUAUAUAUUUGUUUGUCUACAAGUUUAUAAAAAAAUUAUAGAAAAUUAUCAUGAAAGUAAUUUAUUUUUUCUUGAAAAGAUAAUUAAUGAUGCAA
Molecule: long non-coding RNA, 201 nt
Filed under: Elaeis guineensis (African oil palm)
Lineage: Eukaryota; Viridiplantae; Streptophyta; Magnoliopsida; Arecales; Arecaceae
Description: long non-coding RNA (EGUI_LNC044072)
Source: RNAcentral